GUUUAAGACAAAACAUUGUACUAUUAACAAUAGUAUAUGUAGUACUCAAAUAGAUGUUACUAACGAAUUAAAAACAGAACCAGUCAUAACAAAAGUAGAAGAGAUAGAUAGUAAGAAAUUAUUUCAAAACAAACUAACAAAUCAAGGAUAUACCCAAAAACAAACUACUAUUUUUAGUACACCUUUGAAUCAAGAAGUAGAAAACGAGUCUAAACAUACACAGUUACCUUUCUUAUUUAAGCAACCACACGGAAAAUUAUAUCCCGUUCAACCGGCUGCCUUUCAACCGACAGCCUUUCAACCGGCAACGUUUCAACCGGCAACGUUUCAACCGGCAACGUUUCAACCGACUGUUGUCCAACCAGUAGCUGUCCAACCGGCAACUUUUCAAUCGACUGUUGUCCAACCAGUAGCCGUCCAACCGACUGUUGUCCAAUCAUCAACUUCUAAACUAAAUGAUAGUUUCCUAAGCAAUAACAAACUGAUUAGCAUUAUACCUGGUGAUAUUAAUAAGAAAGGAGUUUUGUUUGAAGACAAAAAUGAAAAACUGCACAACAUUAUACCAAGUAAUAUUAACACACACAUACAUAUCCCUAAUAAAAUAAAAACUUCUAAUUUAAAAUGGAAUGAUGAUUUUUACAAAUUAAAGGAAGAACAAGAAAAGUCAAUGACUGGUAGUUACAUUAGACAUACUGAUUUAUAUGAAGAUAAAAACAUAAUUAUUAAAACGUUACCAAAUAAAUAUAACAAAUUAAUUAGUAAGGGAAUGUUUAAUUUUGAAAAAAUUUUAAAAAGUGAAAAUAUACAAUCUGUUACGACGACAAAGGUUUCAAAAGUUUGUACGCAAAAAAAAAAAUGUUAUUAUGAUAAGAGAUCGAAAAAAAUAGUUUUUUUGGAUGAUCAAGGAAAGGACGACUACAGUUAUGAUUCCUAUGAUAUCUGUGAGAAAUAUAGUGGCAUAAAAAACGAUCGAAAUAAAAAUAAUAAGAAUGGCAAAAAAAGCGACAAGGAAAAGGAUAAGGAAAAGAAUUCCGAAUUUUAUAAUUACUUUAAUUGUGAAGAUGUAAAUUUUUAUAAACAGAAAAAAUUAUCAAAUAAAAAAUGC
Molecule: long non-coding RNA, 1105 nt
Filed under: Piliocolobus tephrosceles (Ugandan red Colobus)
Lineage: Eukaryota; Metazoa; Chordata; Mammalia; Primates; Cercopithecidae
Description: lncRNA (ENSPTEG00000016492.1)
Source: RNAcentral